RNAcentral lists this small nuclear RNA (107 nucleotides) under Dromaius novaehollandiae (emu). Lineage: Eukaryota; Metazoa; Chordata; Aves; Casuariiformes; Dromaiidae. The record is from RNAcentral.
UCUUUGGAGCAGGAAGUGGUUAUUAGUAUACUAGAAUGAUGGAGAGAAGAAUAGCAUUGACCCUGCAUAAAGACAGCACUCAAAUUUGAAAGUAUUACAUUUCUAAU